Molecule: long non-coding RNA, 441 nt
Organism: Erigeron canadensis
Lineage: Eukaryota; Viridiplantae; Streptophyta; Magnoliopsida; Asterales; Asteraceae
Exons: 2
Source: RefSeq, a predicted model, not a curated record
UAUAUUGUCUCUUUAUAAGAUCCUUUGUUUUGCAUUGCAGUUUUGUGCAACGAUAUACUUGUAAUUUAAUUUUCAUAGGGCCAUAUACAACCUCGACACUGUUUUGGUAGUAAAUGUAUUAACAUUGUCCAAGGAACUUGUGGACCUAAUAAGAAACGUAGACACUGUAUUUCAUUCCACUCCAGUAGGGUCAUCCAAGUUGACCCUCAAUACAUUAUACAGAUUUGUGCCUUCUAUCCGUGAACAGUUGCAGCAAGCUUUCCAUCAGGCUAAGCACAUUGCUACCGUCGCCAAGAAACUCAAAGAAAGCCCGUGAUAUGAAUCUAACUCACUGAAACAAUGUCAAGCUAGAUACAAUUAGGUUACCUGUUACUAACUUCUGGUUGUAUGAAAAACAUUUAUUUUGAUAUAUAUGAAAUUUGCUCUUUUGCUAUUUGUGUA